RNAcentral lists this RNase P RNA (330 nucleotides) under uncultured Bulleidia sp. RNAcentral describes it as "Bacterial RNase P class B". It matches the Rfam family "Bacterial RNase P class B". Rfam says of the family: Ribonuclease P (RNase P) is a ubiquitous endoribonuclease, found in archaea, bacteria and eukarya as well as chloroplasts and mitochondria. Lineage: Bacteria; Bacillati; Bacillota; Erysipelotrichia; Erysipelotrichales; Erysipelotrichaceae. The record is from RNAcentral.
CGGGCAGUCGCUGGCAUUAUGCCAGAGGAAAGUCCAUGCUCGCACGUUCUGCGAUGAACGUAGUGUUUGUGCUAGUCCAAUCAAUAAGGCCAGGCACCCGCAAGGGUGACGGCGGUACUGAAACCUAAAGAGCAAUCCAUGGUGGAAGACCCUAAGGUGUCACAGUGACGAAGCUGCCUUGGAAACAGGGCAGGUGGAACGCGAUAAACCCCGCAAGCGAGAAACCCAAAAUCAGGUAGGGGAAUCAUCCAAAGUGAAAUGAAACCGAGGAUGGCUGCAAUGCAGAGAUAAAUGGCUGCCACACCGCAAGGUGGACAGAACAUGGCUUAC